GAUGAACGCUGGCGGCGUGCCUAAUACAUGCAAGUCGAGCGAACAGACGAGGAGCUUGCUCCUCUGACGUUAGCGGCGGACGUGUGAGUAACACGUGGAUAACCUACCUAUAAGACUGAGAUAACUUCGGGAAACCGGAGCUAAUACCGUAUGAUAUCUUGAACCACAUUGUUCAAUAGUGAAAGACGGUUUUUCUGUCACUUAUAGAUGGAUCCGCGCCUCAUCAUCGUGUUGUUAGUGUAGCGGCUUACCAAGGCAACGACGCGUAGCCGGCCUGAGAGGGUGACCGGCCACAGUGGGACUGAGAGACGGCCCAGACUCCUACGGUAGGCAGCAGUGGGGAAUAAUACAGAAUGGGCGGAAGCCGAAAGCAGCAACGCCGCGUUCGGGAUGACGGCCUUCGGGUUAUAAACCGCUUUCGCCUGUGACGAAGCGUGAGUGACGGUAAUGAGUAAAGAAGCACCGGCUAACUACGUG
RNAcentral lists this ribosomal RNA (477 nucleotides) under uncultured bacterium. Its description in RNAcentral is "partial 16S ribosomal RNA". It matches the Rfam family "Bacterial small subunit ribosomal RNA", at positions 28 to 507 of the family's 1533-position model. The record is from RNAcentral.